Molecule: ribosomal RNA, 120 nt
Filed under: Pogona vitticeps (central bearded dragon)
Lineage: Eukaryota; Metazoa; Chordata; Lepidosauria; Squamata; Agamidae
Source: RNAcentral
UCCCCCGCUCAUACCACCCUGAACACACCCAAUCCUGUUUGAUUUCAGGAAGCAAGCAGGGUCAAGCCUGGUUAGAACAUUGAGGAGAGACCAGCAGGGCAUACCCUUCAUGUGCAGGCA